This 511-nucleotide ribosomal RNA is filed under the name Ruptitermes sp. 1 RCD-2018. RNAcentral's name for it is "partial 16S ribosomal RNA". It matches the Rfam family "Bacterial large subunit ribosomal RNA", at positions 1807 to 2582 of the family's 2925-position model. The record is from RNAcentral. Lineage: Eukaryota; Metazoa; Arthropoda; Insecta; Blattodea; Termitidae.
ACAAAAACAUCUUUUCUCGUUAGUUUUUGAAGUAUGGCCUGCCCACUGACUAUUAGUUGAAGGGCCGCGGUAUUUUGACCGUGCAAAGGUAGCAUAAUCAUUAGUUCUUUAAUUGUGAUCUGGUAUGAAUGGCUUGACGAGACAUGUGCUGUCUUAAAGUAUUGAAUAUUUGAUUGAAUUUGGUCUUUGAGUUAAAAUUCUUAAAUGUUUUUAUGGGACGAGAAGACCCUAUAGAGUUUGACAUUUAGUUUGCUUUUUAUUGUUUUGUUUGUUUUGUUUAAUUAAGCGAUUUACGUGUUUUGUUGGGGUGAUGGGAGGAAUUUAUUUAACUCCUCUUUAUUUUGUAUAUUUAUGUAUAAUUUUUUGAUCCAUUUAUUUUGAUUAUAAGAUUAAAUUACCUUAGGGAUAACAGCGUUAUCUUCCUUGAGAGUUCUUAUUGGCGGGGAGGUUUGCGACCUCGAUGUUGGAUUAAGGUUAAUUUCGGUGUAGGAGCUGAAAGUGAUGGGUCUUC